AGCAGCCGCGGUAAUUCCAGCUCCAAUAGCGUAUAUUAAAGUUGCUGCAGUUAAAAAGCUCGUAGUUGAAUUUCGGGACCAUCAUGUCGGUCGUGCCUCGGUACGUACUGGCAUUGUUGGUUUCUACCUUCUGACGAACCAUGAUGUCAUUUAUUUGGUGUCGUGGGAAAUCAGGACUGUUACUUUGAAAAAAUUAGAGUGUUUAAAGCAGGCUCACGCUUGAAUACAUUAGCAUGGAAUAAUGAAAUAGGACGUUUGAUUCUAUUUUGUUGGUUUCUAGGAUCGACGUAAUGAUUAAUAGGGAUAGUUGGGGGCAUUAGUAUUCAAUUGUCAGAGGUGAAAUUCUUGGAUUUAUUGAAGACUAACUACUGCGAAAGCAUUUGCCAAGGAUGUUUUCAUUAAUCAAGAACGAAAGUUAGGGGAUCGAAGACGAUCAGAUACCGUCGUAGUCUUAACCAUAAA
Molecule: ribosomal RNA, 462 nt
Filed under: uncultured Glomus
Lineage: Eukaryota; Fungi; Glomeromycota; Glomeromycetes; Glomerales; Glomeraceae
Description: SSU rRNA
Rfam family: Eukaryotic small subunit ribosomal RNA
Source: RNAcentral